RNAcentral lists this ribosomal RNA (727 nucleotides) under Rhynchocypris oxycephala (Chinese minnow). RNAcentral's name for it is "Rhynchocypris oxycephalus (Chinese minnow) partial small subunit ribosomal RNA". It matches the Rfam family "Bacterial small subunit ribosomal RNA", at positions 513 to 1533 of the family's 1533-position model. Lineage: Eukaryota; Metazoa; Chordata; Actinopteri; Cypriniformes; Leuciscidae. The record is from RNAcentral.
CACCGCGGUUAAACGAGAGGCCCUAGUUGACAAUGCAACGGCGUAAAGGGUGGUUAGGGGGAGCAAUACAAUAAAGCCAAAUGGCCCCUUGGCCGUCAUACGCUUCUAGGUGUCCGAAGCCCAAUAUACGAAAGUAGCUUUAAAAGAGCCCACCUGACGCCACGAAAGCUGAGAAACAAACUGGGAUUAGAUACCCCACUAUGCUCAGCUGUAAACCUAGACAUCCAACUACAAUUAGAUGUCCGCCCGGGUACUACGAGCAUUAGCUUGAAACCCAAAGGACCUGACGGUGCCUUAGACCCCCCUAGAGGAGCCUGUUCUAGAACCGAUAACCCCCGUUAAACCUCACCACUUCUAGUCACCCCAGCCUAUAUACCGCCGUCGUCAGCUUACCCUGUGAAGGCAAUAAAAGUAAGCAAAAUGGGCACAACCCAGAACGUCAGGUCGAGGUGUAGCGUACGAAGUGGGAAGAAAUGGGCUACAUUUUCUAUUAUAGAACACUACGGAUGUGCAACAUGAAAUAGUGCUUGAAGGAGGAUUUAGUAGUAAAAAGGAAGCAGCGUGUCCUUUUGAACCCGGCUCUGAGGCGCGUACACACCGCCCGUCACUCUCCCCUGUCAAAUGCAAUAAAGAUAAAUAACACCAAAGCGCUGACAAGGGGAGGCAAGUCGUAACAUGGUAAGUGUACCGGAAGGUGUACUUGGACUAAAUUCAGGGCGUGGCUGAG